This is a long non-coding RNA of Canis lupus familiaris (dog), 5589 nucleotides long. RefSeq lists it as uncharacterized. The record is from RefSeq and is a predicted model, not a curated record. The transcript is spliced from 2 exons. NCBI's taxonomy places the organism in Eukaryota, Metazoa, Chordata, Mammalia, Carnivora, Canidae.
GCGCCCCUCCACAGCUCUGCUCGCCCCGCCCGGGGCUGCCGGGGCCCCGGAGGCCCGGGCGGCGGGGGAGGGGCGGUCUCCGCGGCUGCUCGACCCCCCGCUCCCCUCCUGGCGGCCCGAUGAGUGGAUGGCGCUCCCUCGGGAAAAGUAAUUGGAUUCCCGGCUCCCUGCAGCCCGGAUCAGCGGAAAUCGGAGGCUGAGCCUGCAGGCCGCGGCGGCGAACUGGGCGGUGAGGAAGGACCCACGGAGACUACCCCUGGGGCCCCUUCCCUCCCGGCAGGUGACUCUUGCCCCUCCAAGUUGUCAUCAUUCUGAGAGUCACCUGGUUGCUGCUCUCCGGGAAGAGAAAUAAUCUGGAGCGUUUGAGUCUUUGAGCCACCGCCAGCCUCGUUUUUCUCUCAGAGCUCUCCUUGGAGCUAAUGGAGAAAGAGCCCUGUCUGGGAUUGGAGAUCACUCUUGUUAACCGGGUAACUCCGGAGAAAAUUACCUCCUCGCCAAAAUCAUCCGGGAAAGUAUCUCAGGCCCUUGCUUCAGCAGUAGCGAACUUCCCUAAAUUCUCUUUCCUCUGGGGAGAUGGAGCAGAAGUGGGAGACUUCAGCAGAGUUUUUUGGCUGAAAGGAGAGGAACGUGCUAGGAAUUUAAGUGACUAACUCGUCCCUCCUGCGAGUGUUUUUUCAUCUUACUGUACUUCUUCACUCAUUCAUCUCCAAACAAGCUUUUAUUGGGGGCUUUCUAUGUGCCAUUCUCUGUUGUAUUCACCAAGGACACAAACGUGAAUAAAACAAGUCCUUGCACUCAUGGAACCUCGUUAUAGUUCAGACAGUACAUGGACAAACAAAUAGAUAUACGGUAUAUUGUCGUGGAGCGAUGAAUGCCAUGAGGACAAAUAGCAGAAGGACAGACAGAGAUACAGGCGAGAGUAGCAUAGUUUUUAAUACUUCAGGUAAAUUGAUCUAGAAAGGCCUCUUUGAUGAAGUUAGGUUCUAACGGUGGCCUGAAUGAAAUGAGAGAGAAAGCCAAGCAAAUGCCAGAGGGAGAGGAACUUUCCAGGCAGAGAAAAGAACAAGUGAAAGGCUUUCAGUGUUGGGUGAGCUUUAAUUAGUGGGAAACAAGGAAGCCAACAUGAAUGCUAUGCAAUGAGCAGGAAAACAGUUGGAGAUGGUCCUUCUGACUUCCUUAUUCCUCUGUUCCCAUCUAACGUGUCAGAACAAUCAUUCUAAAUCUUCACCUUUAGUUCAUCUCUCUUUGUGCAUCAGUAAUUUCAUGGCUAUAUUUUCUAUUCCAUUCCAUUUAAAUUCUUUUGACUGAUAGUCAAGCUCUUGCCCCAACCUAGUUCCAUCUUAACCUGUGGACCAUAUUUCAAUCUACUCCUUUAGUUCUAGUUAAGUCUGUCUCAAGUAUAUUCAUGUUCAUUUAUUCUUGCAUAUUUUUGUUUAUGCAUCUCUCCUCACACAACUUAGUAUUGAUUCAGUAAGGAUGUAGGGACAUAAAAUACAACUCACAUUGGCUUAAAUAGAAGAAGGAAUUUAUUGGCUCACAUAAGUGAAUAGUUCGAGAUAGUUUUGUUAGACAUCGCUUGGCUGAAGAGUUCAAAUUAUGUCAUCAAGAUGUGGAUCCUUCCUGAUAUGUUACCUCUUUUCUCUGCUGUUGGCUUCAUUCUCAAGCUCCACAAAUGAAAAACCAGCAACUCUAGGUCACACUAUCCUCACUACCAGCAAAGGUCAAGAGCCCAUUCCUAAACCAAUCACUGUUGCCAGAAAAAGAGAUGCUCAGGUUGGCCUGGACUGAUUGACAAGCCUAUCCCAAAAGUUGAGUCUAUCAGUAACACAUGAAUGGCACAAGAAGGUGAUUUUAGGAAAAGAGGAACGGUGGAUAUGUCUUGGGUAAUGAAACACACCCCUGUUCUUCUCCUGAUGUCCUGAAACAUUCUUCCACUACAAUGCCUUCAAAAAUGUUUAUGCCUAGUCAAUGCAAUAAUAUUAUUUGCUACCAAAAGUAUACUCACUUCCUCCCCAAAGAGAGAUGAUCCAAAUUCUCAUGUAGUUACUGAAGAUAACUCCCGAGUCCAGGACAGCAGGAUAAUAAGCAUGUUUCUCUAUUAUACAGUAGUAUGGUUCCUCAAGGUCUAGUAACCUAAAGCUACAAGAUAAAAUUAGCUACAAAAUACUUAAUACAUAAUGACAGAAAAGAACAACUACAACGGAAACUCAUAUUCAGAAAAAUGACUAAUGGCAAACACAUAGUGGUCUUUGAUUCAUAGCAUAUAUCAUGCUGGACAGAAACACCAAGGCUUCUUACAAUGAGAGAGGAGAAAGUUCUUUGAUCAACACAUCUGGCUGCCAUAUGUUCAACUAUUGGAGAAUCUCUCAUCCAUUGUUCCUCCAUGCCAUAUCUGUAAUGGACAGUUGGGAGUAUAAUCCUUCUAGGGACCACACCUCUUCAACAUUCUGCUUCCUGAUAUAGUGGGGGUUGAAAAAAAACUUGUUAUUACAGAGAUAAUUGGCUUUUACCACCAAAUAGCUGUGAUCCUCUUCUGUUAUGUAGAAUUGUUGCUACGAAGUAGCUGCAUAGGCAAGGACUACAUUUCCCAAGUUCCCCUAUUAAUCUUGGUAAAUUUGUGCGAUUAAUUAUCUCCUUAGGAAUAUUAGUGGAAGUGGCAUGAAUCACUUCUUGCCAAUGCGGUUAAGAACUAGGUGUGCCUUCUAUGGUUUCUUUUUCUUCCUCUGGCUACACUGAAAGGACUCUAGGACCCUAGAGGAUAGUCGUAAGAGAGCCAUGAGAUGAAAGGAGUCUAGGUAGCUGAAUGACCUUGUAGAAUGCCACUUGAUGAUCAGAAAUACUGAUAUUGGAUUUUACAGCAGUGAAAAAUAAACAUCGGUAGUGUUAAACCAAUCAAACUUUGCAUUAUGUGUUACAGCAGUUAGUAAUAAGGCUAAUUAACUGGCCUUUAUUCUUCAGACUUAGGAUUUCUCUCACCAUACAAUUUAUGUAUUUAUUUUUUAAGUAGGCUCUAUGCCCAGUGUGGGGCUUGAACUCAUGACCCUGAGGCCAAGAGUCCCACCCUCUACAGACAGAGCCAGCCAGGUGCCACAAUUUUCUUUACUUCCUACUAAGCUUCCAGUCUGUUUGCAUCUAGCCAAUUUUAUGGGGGGAAAAAACUUCCAAAGCUGGAUGUUAUCUUAAGCUUCAGUCUUUGCAUCCAGAUUCUAAUACAGGUAUUUUUAUCUUUCUGUAAUUGACCUUGGUAUACUCCUCACUUAUGGCCUUCAUUUUGGUUUCUGCCUGAGAAUGAGUUGAAACAAUAGCUACUGAAAAAAAAAAAAAAAAGAAUAGCUACUAAUUUUGCAGGGAGGGACAUGGGCAUAGUAGUGGUGCUAGAGGGAAUAGAAUUGGAUAAUUAUUACCUUUCUAAGCAGGCAGGAAUUGCUUGAGAGAGGCCUGGGUGUGUUCAGACUUCUCCCAAGUGCCAGUCUUUUCCACUUGCCUUCAUUGGCAUUAAAAUUCUUUUGAGGCUUUUCCAACCCUAAUGGCUCUAGAUUAUUGAAAUUUCUGUCAUAUUUGAUUGCAGCCUUUAGCAAAAAUGGUCAUUUAUAUCAAAGCAGUAUUUUUUCCCCUCUCAGGCUUAGAUAAAUCAAAUUCAAUCCUAAACUUGAGUCUCUCUUGUAGGACCUAACUGAAAGCCAACAUGCCAACAUAUAAUAAUUGGUGUACUCUAGUAUCUGACCUUUUAGAAAUAUUUUUUUGCAUUUCAUACUUGUUAGGCACAUGUUUCAAAUUCUAGUAUACAACAGGUGCCACUUUGCUAUUGAAUUCCCAGUCUAGUAUAAAUGAGGCCUCAUCUGAAUCAACUGAUUCAACAUUUUAAGCUCUUUCACUUACUAAUCCCCACUUCUGGUACCAAUUUGUGAAUUGUUAAAGCUAUUUUAGUUGCAGGUGACAAGAUAAAAAAACACAAACUGACUUAUACAAAAAGGAAUAUAUUGGCUAUUGGCUCACAUAACUAAGGAACUAGUGAUAUAUUUAGCUUAAGGCAUAGCUUGAUCCAAGGGCUUAAGCAAUGUCAUUAGAAUUCUAUUUUGUUUCAUCUCUUGGCUCUGUCUUCUGUGUUGGCUUCAUUCUCAGGCUCCAUAUGGUGGCUCCUGGCAGCUCCAGUUCACAUAAUCCUUACUGUUAGCAAUCUCAGUGGAAGAGUACAUGCCUUUUUCCCAGAAGUGCCAGCAAUAAUCUCCUUAUAUUUUAUUGGCUUUGAUUAGGGCAUGUGACCAGAAGAAUGAUUACUCAUGUUAAAAGUGGAGUCCAGUCUCCCAAAAGACAUUAACUGAGAGUAAUAGAGGAAAACAGGGUAUGGUUAUCAAAAGGGUGAAUGCUGAGUAGCAAAAAAACCAAUGUCUCUCAUUAGAUACCAAUGUGUAGUGAUCCCUAAUUGCUUCACAUGUGUUGGUUUUAUCUCCUUCACUGGACUAUAAGUCUCUCUGGAGCAGGAUCAUGUAUUAUAUGUCUUAACGGUGCCAGCCCAGCAGGCAGUCCUUAGAUACUGGCUGAUUGAUUGCCUCUUUGUGUAACACUAAAGAUGGCACACCAAAGAGGGUAAAAAGAGCUUAAUAAAAGAAUGAUUUAUAGAGAUGUGGGAAGGGUUAAGGGAACCAACUAGCAAUGGUAAAACGCUUAACUGGUAACAAUAAGACUUAAGCCUGAAGGAGCAAGGAACUUUUAAGAGUAGUGUUUAGAAGAGGAUGUCUGACAAACGCUGAGACUAUAAAUAGAGAAAUGCAGCCACUGCCAAAUGUGGCCCAGGAGGGGACUGGGGAGUAAACACUUUUCCUCUUUUACCCGACUCUCCAAACUUCUUUUGGUACCUCCCAUUGGCCAAACCCAACCAGAUGUAUAGGGCUUGGAUGAUACAGUCUGUAGAGAUCAGCCUCCAGUAUAGAACAAGACAGAUAGGAUGAAAAAUGGAUCUGGAGGAGCAAGUGGAAAAUAACCAGGACAUCCUUGUUAUGCUCCUUAGAGCAACCCUCAAUAAAAACUAUUCCUGUCUUGAGAAUGUUAACCAUAUAGCCUGAUUUACCAAGAAAAUAUAAUUUUAUCUUUUCCAAUACAUUUUAAAACAUAUAACUAAUGUAGUUUAAUUUUUAUAGUAUUUUAAGGCUUUAACAUUCAUGAAUUAAUAAAGCAUGAAAAAUCUUUUGUUAGCCUAUGUAGUUAAAAAGCUAUCAUUAUUGUAUUUAUAUGGAAUUCCUCAAGAAUAUUGUACCUGGUAAUCCAUCAGAAAGCCCUGGGACAGAACUUGUCAAAUAGUGACAAAUUUGAUAAAUGUUUGAUGAUUUGAAGAAUGAUUAAAUGAAUAAAUUAGAGCAUUUAGAGUCUAUUCUAAGUGGGAAACUAGAUAGGCUCUCCUUGUUAAAUGUUGAAGCUAACUAUAUAACAUAUACCAAUCCUGUCUCUUAAAGUCUGACUCUGGCUUCUUAGCUGUUGAUCAAGUUCUUAUCUCGUGGAAAAGGGAACUGCAAUAAAUUUUGUCAACCUUUAGAAGUAAGAAGUUUUAUAAUUAACUGUCAUGCUAAUAAACUCACUAUAAAGUCCAUUUCA